UACACGACUCUCGGCAAUGGGUAUCUCGGCUCUCGCAUCGAUGAAGAAGCGCAGCGAAAUGCGAUACGUGGUGCGAAUUGCAGAAUCCCGCGAAC
RNAcentral lists this ribosomal RNA (95 nucleotides) under Polystachya concreta. RNAcentral describes it as "5.8S ribosomal RNA". It matches the Rfam family "5.8S ribosomal RNA", at positions 1 to 89 of the family's 154-position model. From Rfam's summary of the family: 5.8S ribosomal RNA (5.8S rRNA) is a component of the large subunit of the eukaryotic ribosome. The record is from RNAcentral. Lineage: Eukaryota; Viridiplantae; Streptophyta; Magnoliopsida; Asparagales; Orchidaceae.